Molecule: ribosomal RNA, 504 nt
Filed under: uncultured bacterium
Lineage: Bacteria
Description: bacterial SSU rRNA
Rfam family: Bacterial small subunit ribosomal RNA
Source: RNAcentral
UGAACGCUGGCGGCGUGCUUAACACAUGCAAGUCGAACGAAGCGUCCCGCCCGAUGAAAUGGAGUACUGUACAAAAUCGAUUCAAUUGGGAUGACUUAGUGGCGGACGGGUGAGUAACGCGUGGGUAACCUGCCUUACACAGGGGGACAACAGUUGGAAACGACUGCUAAUACCGCAUAACCCGCUAGUACCGCAUGGUACAGACGGAAAAGAUUUAUCGGUGUAAGAUGGACCCGCGUCUGAUUAGCUAGUUGGUGAGGUAACGGCUCACCAAGGCGACGAUCAGUAGCCGGCCUGAGAGGGUGAACGGCCACAUUGGGACUGAGACACGGCCCAAACUCCUACGGGAGGCAGCAGUGGGGAAUAUUGGACAAUGGGGGAAACCCUGAUCCCAGCGACGCCGCGUGAGUGAAGAAGUAUUUCGGUAUGUAAAGCUCUAUCAGCAGGGAAGAAAAUGACGGUACCUGACUAAGAAGCCCCGGCUAACUACGUGCCAGCAGCCGC